CUCUGGUGGCUCAAUCGGAUAGAGCGUUGGACUUCUAAUCCAAAGGUUGCGGGUUCAAGUCCCGCCCAGAGUA
RNAcentral lists this transfer RNA (73 nucleotides) under Perkinsus chesapeaki. It matches the Rfam family "tRNA". From Rfam's summary of the family: Transfer RNA (tRNA) molecules are approximately 80 nucleotides in length. The record is from Rfam by way of RNAcentral. Lineage: Eukaryota; Perkinsozoa; Perkinsida; Perkinsidae.